RNAcentral lists this transfer RNA (75 nucleotides) under Cordylochernes scorpioides. RNAcentral describes it as "tRNA-Thr". It matches the Rfam family "tRNA". Rfam says of the family: Transfer RNA (tRNA) molecules are approximately 80 nucleotides in length. The record is from RNAcentral. Lineage: Eukaryota; Metazoa; Arthropoda; Arachnida; Pseudoscorpiones; Chernetidae.
GUCCAGGGUAGCCUAGUGGACAUGGCAUCUGCCCGGUAAUCGGAACAUUGUGGGUUCGAUUCCCAUCACUGGACA